RNAcentral lists this ribosomal RNA (815 nucleotides) under uncultured bacterium. RNAcentral describes it as "bacterial SSU rRNA". It matches the Rfam family "Bacterial small subunit ribosomal RNA", at positions 9 to 819 of the family's 1533-position model. The record is from RNAcentral.
GAGUUUGAUCAUGGCUCAGGAUGAACGCUAGCGGCAGGCUUAACACAUGCAAGUCGAACGGUAACAUUGGUGCUUGCGCCAGAUGACGAGUGGCGCACGGGUGCGUAACGCGUAUGCAAUCUACCUUUUACUGGAGAAUAGCCCAGAGAAAUUUGGAAUAAUCCUCCAUAAUAUCAUGUAUCAGCAUUGAUUUAUGAUUAAAGCUCCGGCGGUAAAAGAUGAGCAUGCGUUCUAUUAGCUAGUAGGUGAGGUAACGGCUCACCUAGGCAACGAUAGAUAGGGGCCCUGAGAGGGGGAUCCCCCACACUGGUACUGAGACACGGACCAGACUCCUACGGGAGGCAGCAGUGAGGAAUAUUGGACAAUGGAGGCAACUCUGAUCCAGCCAUGCCGCGUGCAGGAUGACUGCCCUAUGGGUUGUAAACUGCUUUUAUAUAGGAAGAAACACUCCCACGUGUGGGGGCUUGACGGUACUAUAUGAAUAAGGAUCGGCUAACUCCGUGCCAGCAGCCGCGGUAAUACGGAGGAUCCAAGCGUUAUCCGGAAUCAUUGGGUUUAAAGGGUCCGCAGGCGGCCUGUUAAGUCAGAGGUGAAAGCCAACAGCUCAACUGUUGAACUGCCUUUGAUACUGAUAGGCUUGAGUUAUUGUGAAGUGGUUAGAAUGUGUGGUGUAGCGGUGAAAUGCUUAGAUAUCACACAGAAUACCCAUUGCGAAGGCAGAUCACUAACAAUAUACUGACGCUCAUGGACGAAAGCGUGGGGAGCGAACGGGAUUAGAUACCCCGGUAGUCCACGCCGUAAACGAUGGAUACUAA